AUUGAACGCUGGCGGCAUGCCUUACACAUGCAAGUCGAGCGGCAGCGCGGGGGCAACCCUGGCGGCGAGCGGCGGACGGGUGAGUAAUACAUCGGAACGUGUCCUUUCGUGGGGGAUAACCAGUCGAAAGACUGGCUAAUACCGCAUGAGAUCUCACGAUGAAAGCGAGGGACCGCAAGGCCUCGCGCGAUUGGAGCGGCCGAUGUCGGAUUAGCUAGUGGCGGGGUAAAAGCCCACCAAGGCUACGAUCCGUAGCUGGUUUGAGAGAACGACCAGCCACACUGGGACUGAGACACGGCCCAGACUCCUACGGGAGGCAGCAGUGGGGAAUUUUGGACAAUGGGGGCAACCCUGAUCCAGCCAUGCCGCGUGUGUGAAGAAGGCCUGGUGUAA
This 393-nucleotide ribosomal RNA is filed under the name uncultured bacterium. RNAcentral describes it as "bacterial SSU rRNA". It matches the Rfam family "Bacterial small subunit ribosomal RNA", at positions 29 to 428 of the family's 1533-position model. The record is from RNAcentral.